AAGAAAAACACCAAACGAACCCUUAAGUCCAAAAUAUUUCACCGCCAAUUUCAAAUUCUCCAGCUGUCUUCUCCAUUUUCGGCUAAGGUCCAGUGACUUUAAGCUUUCGCAGUCAUUGCUGGCCUAUUUCAAGUAAAGAAUUUAUGGGUUUUGUUUUCUUCCUCACAAAGAGGAUAAUUUUCAUCGGUAAUAAUUGUUUUUUUCAAAUAUGAUUUAGCUUUUAGCUUUUAUCUUUUUCUUUUCUAAUAUAAUCAGUGGAAUGAAAAACGAAUUUCAAGUCUGGAUUUUGUCCCACAUCAUUUCAAAAUGAAAAAACCCUAGCAGUUGGGGCUCUAUAAAUAGAACCCUCAAUUCUCAUUCAUACACGAUUUUUUUUUUGGAGAUCAAAAAUUGGUUUUUAUACCAAUAGUGGGUUUUUGACAACUGCAAGAGUGAGAACACUCAGAAAUCCGGCUAAGCCAUGAGUUUCGAGGACGUUCUCGCUCAUGUUUAAUUUUUUGGUAGUCGUUUUAAUCGAUUUGGGUGAAAGGUCAACCCUCGUUGCCCCCGUCACUGCUCGGCAAAAAGGUAGAAACAGAUGAUAUACUUGAUAAAAAAUACCACUGAGUUGAACAUAAUACUACACUUGGGCCGAUGAAAACAUUUAAUUUGAGGCCAUGCCUUGUUUGGAAAGGUUAUCCCUCGGUUUAGGCAAUGAUGAUCUCAUAGUAUAGUAAUAAAGUAGGAUCCAAUAUGCAUUUGGAAAGGCGACCAGAAUGAUUGACGAGUCACUAGUUCGCAGCCACGACAUGUUCUCCCCAUAUUAAAAAGAAACAUGAGUCUGAGCUUCCGUAAUCAAAGCUCUCAAAGUUUGAUACGAGUUCGAGGGAUAUUAUUAUUUAUGUUCCUAAACAUCACCCUAUGGGGUAGCGUAUCAUUUUGACUAACUACUUUUCUUCUCAUCGUGUGAGGUACCAAUAAAACAAGCACGGAAAGCAAAGCUUAAGGACAAAGUAAAAGGAUCGGAUGUUUAGAGCUUCAGACGAACAGUAGAAAAGUACAGGAUUUGGGCUUAAGGCCGACAAAGCUAAACUUUCUUCCCUUCUUUAUUUUUUGUAUAAAACAUAUUUUAUAUGUUUACAUUCACUUGGUGGGAACAUGCAUUUUUUUGUAAAUUGUAUAGAUAUUGAAACCCUUAUAAAUUGGAACCUAGGAUUCGGGUAGACGAUAUUUCAAAUUGUACCCGAACGAUAAAAGAGUUGUAUUCCAUUUGAUUAAAGUAACUAAAAGUGAAAGAAUGUUUUCUUGAACAAAAA
Lycium ferocissimum is the source of this 1295-nucleotide long non-coding RNA. RefSeq lists it as uncharacterized. NCBI's taxonomy places the organism in Eukaryota, Viridiplantae, Streptophyta, Magnoliopsida, Solanales, Solanaceae. The record is from RefSeq and is a predicted model, not a curated record. The transcript is spliced from 2 exons.